RNAcentral lists this ribosomal RNA (292 nucleotides) under uncultured bacterium. Its description in RNAcentral is "partial 16S ribosomal RNA". It matches the Rfam family "Bacterial small subunit ribosomal RNA", at positions 505 to 796 of the family's 1533-position model. The record is from RNAcentral.
GUGUCAGCCGCCGCGGUAAUACGGAGGAUGCGAGCGUUAUCCGGAUUCAUUGGGUUUAAAGGGUGCGCAGGUGGGAAAAUAAGUCAGUGGUGAAAUACUGCCGCUUAACGGUAGAAUUGCCAUUGAUACUGUUUUUCUUGAGUAUGGUUGAGGUAGGUGGAAUGUGUUGUGUAGCGGUGAAAUGCAUAGAUAUGACACAGAACGCCGAUUGCGAAGGCAGCUUACUAAGCCAUUACUGACGCUGAGGCACGAAAGCGUGGGGAUCGAACAGGAUUAGAAACCCCCGUAGUCC